AUGCCGGCUCUUCUUCUGCUCUUGCUGUUGAGCUUGAGCAUGGGCGGAGAGCUGGUCCCGUGCUCAUCCGCCGGCGAGGGCCAGUUCGCCUUCCAGGGCUUCGCGGCGGCGAACCUUACGCUGGAUGGUCUCGCCGCCGUCAUGCCCAACGGCCUGCUCGCGCUCACCAACUUCACUCUCCAGACAAAAGGCCAUGCCUUCAACCCCACCCCUCUCCGCUUCCUCGACGUCAACGGGGCGACCAACUCCACUGCCGUGGCGCGCUCCUUCUCCACAUCCUUCGUGUUCGCCAUCGUCUCCAACUACGACGGCCUGAGCGACCAAGGGCUCGCCUUCGUGGUCGCCCCGACCACCAACUUCUCAACGGCGAUCGCCGGGCAGUAUCUGGGCCUCCUCGACGCCACGAACGGCGCCGCGAGCGACCACAUAUUGGCAGUCGAGCUCGACACCAUCAUGAACCCCGAGUUCCGCGACAUCAACAGCAACCACGUGGGCAUCAACGUCAACAGCCUCAUUUCGCGGAAGGCCAAGCCGGCCGGCUACUACGGCGAUGACGGUGCCACCUUUCGAGACCUGAUGUUGAACAGCCGCGAGCCGAUGCAGGUGUGGGUGGACUACGAUGGCCAGGCCAGGCAACUCAACGUGACACUGGCUCCUGCGCACGAGCCCAAACCCAGGUAUCCUCUCCUCUCUGAAGCCAUUGACCUCUCCUCUGUCCUCACGGAGACAAUGUAUGUUGGCUUCUCGUCGUCAUCCGGCGUGGUGUCAACGCACCACUAUGUGCUUGGAUGGAGCUUCAGCUUGGACGGGCCUGCCCCGCCUCUUGAUUUCUCUAAGCUUCCAGCACUGCCACGUGUGGGUUCGAAGCAUCGGUCCAUGGUCUUGGCUCUCGUGCUACCACUAGCAACCGUAUUGAUCAUCGCCGCGGUGCUAGCUGCCGCCUCCUUCUUUGUGUGGCGUCGGCGUCGAUUUGCUGAGGUGCGCGAAGAUUGGGAGGAUGAGUUCGGCCCACACCGGUUCGCAUAUAAAGAUCUAUUUCGUGCCACUGAUGGAUUCAAGAAUGGAAAUUUACUCGGUGCCGGAGGGUUUGGCAAAGUAUACAAAGGGGUACUUCCUGGAUCCAAUUUGGAAAUCGCGGUGAAGAGAGUAUCACAUGACUCAAGACAAGGUAUAAGAGAGUUCAUUGCUGAAGUGGUGACCAUUGGUCGUCUCCGCCACAGGAAUCUGGCACAGUUACAAGGCUAUUGCCGGCGCAAUGGUGAACUUCUCUUGGUGUAUGACUACAUGGAAAAUGGUAGCCUUGACAAGUACUUGUACAAUAACAAUGGGCCAACUUUGGAUUGGCCUCAAAGAUAUUGGAUCAUCAAAGGUGUUGCAUCAAGUUUACUGUAUCUUCAUGAGGAUUGGGAACAAGUCGUCAUCCACCGAGAUAUAAAGGCAAGCAAUGUGCUUUUAGAUAAGCAGAUGAAUGGAAGGCUCGGCGAUUUUGGCCUAGCAAGGUUGUACGAUCAUGGCACUGAUGCUCAAACAACACAUGUGGUUGGCACUAUGGGAUACCUCGCACCAGAACUUGUACGCACUGGGAAGGCAACACCUUCAACCGAUGUAUUUGCAUUUGGUGUGUUUCUCCUAGAGGUUGUCUGUGGACGCAGGCCCAUUGAAAGUGGUCAGCAUAACAAUAGGGUGGUGUUAGUCGACUGGGUGCUUGAACACCACCGCAAUGGCUCAAUCAUUGACACGGUGGAUCCACGCCUCAUGGGUAAAUUCAACACAGAUGAGGUCACUCUUGUGCUCAAACUAGGUUUGUUGUGCACGCACCCAUCGCCCAAUGUGAGGCCUCCUGUGCAAAAGGUCAUGCAAUACCUCGAUGGUGUCCAAUUAGUUCCUGAUUUACCAUCGACAUACAUGAGCUACAGCAUGUUGGUUCUCAUGGAGAAUGAAGGGUUUGAUUCAUACAUCAUGUCAUGCCCUCCGCCAGGGAUGACCAUCUGCAGUGUAUCUGACGUGUCGUCGGCAACGGUUCUUCUAGAUGGGAGAUGA
Molecule: ribosomal RNA, 2040 nt
Filed under: Triticum aestivum (bread wheat)
Lineage: Eukaryota; Viridiplantae; Streptophyta; Magnoliopsida; Poales; Poaceae
Description: partial small subunit ribosomal RNA
Source: RNAcentral